CGCCGAGCUUGAGCCACUGAUCACCGAUUUGGAGCCACAAUUUACAAAUCUGGAGCAACUGUUCAUCUAUUUGGAUCCACCAUUUGUUGAUUCGUUGAUCUCAACAAGGCAGCUGUUCAUCGAUUUGGAUCCACCAUUUGUUGAUUCGCUGAUCUCAACAAAUUUCAAUGGAGUACAAUUUUGAUGGUUUUGGAGAUGAGAGUAAUGAGGAGCUUGAGCUAUACGUAGUGUUGCAAGUUGUAAUGUAAGAAUUGUACACCUUAUGCGUUGUAGCAUAUAUUGCCAUUGAAAUUGUCUUGAAGAGGUACAUUCAUAAGUAUCCUCGUACCGUUAUUCGAGGCCCCAAUCGAUUGCAAGAACAAAUGGACCACAUUAAUCGGCUAGUGAGAGAAAGCGACAUUACAUGCAUUGAACAACUUCGUAUGGAUAGGCGUUGUUUUAUGACGUUAUGCCAUAUGGUUCGUAUAAUAGGCGGGUUGGGGCAUUCAAAACAUGUUACCUUAGAAGAGAAGAUGGCCUUGUUCCUCUACGUCUUGGCACAUGACCUGAAAGUAUGAAAACUUAAGUUCAAUUUCUUUAGGUCCGGAGAGACUGUAAGUCGACAUUUCAAUGAUGUCCUAAAAGCUGUGUUGCGCCUUCAAGGCCACUUACUUAGGACACCAAAUCCUAUAACACAAGCAUGCACUGAUCCAAGGUGGAAUUGCUUCCAGAAUUGUCUUGGAGCACUUGAUGGAACCUAUAUUAAAGUUCGUGUACCAGUGGUUUACCAAGCACGGUAUAGAACGCGGAAGGAGGAGAUAGCUACCAAUGUUCUAGGAGUUUGCUCUCAGGACAUGAACUUCAUAUAUGUGUUGCCAGGGUGGGAAGGGUCAGCUGCAGAUUCUAGGGUUUUGAGGGAUGCGAUUAAUCGAUCCAAUGGCUUAAGAAUUCCAACUGGCAUGGAUAGUGAAGUGUCUAGUUCUCGUAAAAAAGUAAAGGAGAAAGUUGAUCAGUCAAAACCAAGGCGAUUGUGGAGCCCACGAGAAGAGCAAUGUCUUAUUAAUGCCUUGAUGCACAUUGUCAACAAUGGAAUGAAACAGGACAAUGCCUUCAAGGCCGGCUACCUUAUGAAAUUAGAGGAGAAAUUGUUGGAGAUCUACCCGGGACAAACCUUCGUGGCACUCCCCACAUCGAAUCAAAGAUAAAGAUAUGGAAGAAUCACUACAACUGUGUAGCUGGAAUGCUUGGUACUAGUGGUUUUGGAUGGAAUGGCACCGGAAAAAGAUUUGAUGUUGAGAGUGAUAGUGUCUGGGAAGCAUGUGUUCGGAUAAAAUACUUUCUUUUAAGUUACUUUGUAUAAGUUAUUAAUUUUUUAAUUCAUUUUUAUUUAAUCUUAAGUUGGAGAUAUUAAUUGAAAUUGGUUAUUGUAGAGGGAGAGCGAUGCGAAAAACCUACGAAACAAAAGUUUUCCAUAUUUCAACUCAUGGAUCCACAUAUUUGGUAAGGAUCGAGCUACGGGGGAGUUUGCUGAAGGGCUUGCUGAUGCAGUUGAUGCUAUAAAUGCUGAGGAAGAAUUGUUGUUCAACAGUCUUGCAGAUGAUGACACAUUUCUUGAACAUAUGGGUAUUAGUAGUUAUAUCGGCGAGGGAAUAAAUUGCUCCAGCUCAUCAAGUUAACGACCACCUGAAAGUUCUACAAAAAAGAAUG
Camellia sinensis is the source of this 1686-nucleotide non-coding RNA. The record is from RefSeq and is a predicted model, not a curated record. Lineage: Eukaryota; Viridiplantae; Streptophyta; Magnoliopsida; Ericales; Theaceae.